This 235-nucleotide ribosomal RNA is filed under the name uncultured bacterium. Its description in RNAcentral is "partial 16S ribosomal RNA". It matches the Rfam family "Bacterial small subunit ribosomal RNA", at positions 524 to 755 of the family's 1533-position model. The record is from RNAcentral.
UACGUAGGGUGCAAGCGUUGUCCGGAAUUAUUGGGCGUAAAGAGCUCGUAGGCGGUCUGUCGCGUCUGCUGUGAAAACUCGGGGCUUAACCCCGGGCCUGCAGUGGGUACGGGCAGACUAGAGUGCGGUAGGGGAGACUGGAAUUCCUGGUGUAGCGGUGAAAUGCGCAGAUAUCAGGAGGAACACCGGUGGCGAAGGCGGGUCUCGUGGGCCGUAACUGACGCGUGAGGAAGCG